GGAUCUCGACGCGUUGAUGUGGUUCUAGAAAUUCUGGUCCUUCUGGACUCUUCGUUUCAUUUCGAAGCCAAGCUCUCAGACGUCUGCUUCUUUCUAAAAAACUCUAGCCCUCUCCUUCCCGAACACACCUCCUGCAAAAAUCUCUGCUGCGUCUUCUUCGAUUAACACUUUUGAAACAAGAAAUUAAAUCGAUCUCCAAAAGUUCAACCCCCAAACUGGAUCAGGAUCCAUCACCAUCUCGCGGUGCCUUGCUCAGAUCGGCUCUGCACUCAUCAUCGAUGACUUUGCCUUCACGGAGGACUCCGCAAAUCCCAUCACCGAUAAAGGGAGUGCUAAUAUACAGAUUUUUUGGGAUUUUUUGUUUUUGAACGGAAGUUAGCAUGAGAUUUUCACAUGACAUGGAUGAUGAGUAGAGAAACUCAUCUGGAGAAUGAACCCACCAAGACAAUGGCUGAUGUUACUUUAAAGGAGCUGAGAUCAGCAUGUCACAACAGUCCCACAAGCAGAUGCCCAAACUGUACACAUCACAUUAGGCAAG
Pyrus x bretschneideri (Chinese white pear) is the source of this 538-nucleotide long non-coding RNA. RefSeq lists it as uncharacterized. The transcript has 4 exons. NCBI's taxonomy places the organism in Eukaryota, Viridiplantae, Streptophyta, Magnoliopsida, Rosales, Rosaceae. The record is from RefSeq and is a predicted model, not a curated record.